Molecule: non-coding RNA, 215 nt
Organism: Pelobates cultripes (western spadefoot toad)
Lineage: Eukaryota; Metazoa; Chordata; Amphibia; Anura; Pelobatidae
Source: the annotation of a GenBank genome assembly
CUCUGCAGUGCACAGUGAUAUGUGGCUGAAUCCUCUACCUUCAAGUCAUUGAUAGUCAGAUCAGUAGUGUUUGAAUCCACCUGAGUUGUAAAUCUCUUCUCAGCGAAAGGAGCAGUAUUAGAUGCAGAGCCUUGGUUAGCUUUAUAUAGAAUGUAAUCUAGAGCUCUAUUUGGAUAAUGACGAUACCAAUACAGAUAAUAAGCUGAAGAAUAUUU